GGAUGCUUGAUGGAGCAGUUCGCGCCGUGGUGCGCGCGCGCCAGGGCUUAGGCUCCAAGUAAAGGCCUUCUUCAUCCAUCCACCCACAACCAGGUAAGUCAUUGCCUCCACCCUCGGAUCCGUUCGCUAUAGGCAGGUGAACGGCUGGUAUUUUAUGGACACUGCGGAGCAGGGAGGGAAGUGAAAGUGUGAGGCAAUGCAGGGGUCCUGGGAGGUCGGUGCCACCUCAGUGCCCACGGGCCUCAGAGUGGGGACAUGAGCGCGGGGCGAGGGGAGGUGAUGCUGGGACCCCGGUUGUGUACCCCAAGUUGCCGGUAAGGGUGCACCUGACCUCCGAUCCGCAUUUUCUCUUUCCCACAGCUCGACCUGGGACUCCUGGCUCAGGCUUGGCGUGGGCUCCAUCCCACCGCGAUGCUAGCAUGCGUAUUGGGGUGCCUUGUCUUGGGGUGGGAGAACCUGUUGUAAGAAAUUGUUUGUGGUAUAGUCGAAAAUGACAGAAAUUUAGUCUGAAGUCUUGAGUUUAGGUCCAGGCUUUCCACUACUGUGCAUUCCUGGGCCGCUUGCUUAACCUCUCUGGACCCAGCCUCCUCAUCUUGCAGAGAGAAGUUCUAUUAUGAACUAAGUGGGUUGUUGGCGUUUGGUAAGAUGUAGAGUUGGAAGAUCUUUAUAAAGUAGAAGAAGCCUUAUUUUUGGUUGUCUAUUGUUAUUAGAACAUUUUGGCACUGUCUGGGGAAAGUCAGCCGGCACCUCAGCUGACUGGGGCGUAUGUUCCCGCAGAAGGAGACCCGGGCGGGGUCAAACAGGUUGAACCAUUGCCCUCUUCUGCUCAGAACAGGUGUCCCCAGCCUCGGGGAAAGACAUUUGGAAGGAAAAGCAGGGGGCGUCAGUGACCCUCCGAGGGCUGCAGAGGCUAGCCAUGUGCUCCUCUGAGGCCUUAAUCCCAGUAUCCCAAACAAGCCGCUCAGGACUGGGUCCCCGGCAGAUCGCCGCCCGAACUCGGCCCCCAGUUCGUUUCUUCCAGCGCUUGGCCUGGGCUCACCGCGCGCCCUCACCCCGGUCCAGCUGCGCCUAGAGUUCACUCGGGGCAGCAGAGGACCCGCGAGUAGGCGCUCAGACAGACAGACGCCGCGGUGCCGGGCGGUCUCCGGCUGCGCCCGGGUCUGCGAAUCAAAGGAGAAGCGUCCUUCUCUCACCCUCUCACCCCGCUCCGCUGGCUAGCCAAGCACGGAACCCGCCAGGCUCUGGCCAACCGGCUCACAUGGCCCGGAGCCCAGAGGCUCGCUGAGGCGGCUUCUCUUUACUUUAAACAGGGGGCCUCAUAAGACCUGUUGAGGGGCCCUGCAACACUGUAUACAGAAUCGCCUAUUUAAGUAAGUGCUUUUCUCUCUCUCUCUCUUUUUGGUACAUCUUUCUAAAGUCAGGUUCUCAGUGGGAUCCACAUUCCCUCUGAGGUUAAGAACCAUCCUUCUCCACCAGAAGCUCAGGGAGUUGUCGAUGCAGGAUGGAACAUUACAAGAUUACAGGCCCCAGGUGGUGGUUUACACCUGUAAUUCCAGCACUUUGGGAGGCUCAGGCGGGAGGAUCACUUGAGUCCCGGAGUUCAAGACCAGCCUGGGCAACAUGAGACUUCCACCUCAACAAAAAA
Homo sapiens (human) is the source of this 1645-nucleotide long non-coding RNA. Lineage: Eukaryota; Metazoa; Chordata; Mammalia; Primates; Hominidae. The record is from Ensembl.